AGUGAACGCUGGCGGUAGGCCUAACACAUGCAAGUCGAACGGCAGCACAGUAAGAGCUUGCUCCUACGGGUGGCGAGUGGCGGACGGGUGAGGAAUACAUCGGAAUCUACUUUUUCGUGGGUGAUAACGUAGGGAAACUUACGCUAAUACCGCAUACGACCUACGGGUGAAAGCAGGGGAUCUUCGGACCUUGCGCGUUUGAAUGAGCCGAUGUCGGAUUAGCUAGUUGGCGGGGUAAAGGCCCACCAAGGCGACGAUCCGUAGCUGGUCUGAGAGGAUGAUCAGCCACACUGGAACUGAGACACGGUCCAGACUCCUACGGGAGGCAGCAGUGGGGAAUAUUGGGCAAUGGGCGCAAGCCUGAUCCAGCCAUACCGCGUGGGUGAAGAAGGCCUUCGGGUUGUAAAGCCCUUUUGUUGGGAAAGAAAAGCAGCAGGUUAAUACCCCGCUGUUCUGACGGUACCCAAAGAAUAAGCACCGGCUAACUUCGUG
RNAcentral lists this ribosomal RNA (492 nucleotides) under uncultured bacterium. RNAcentral describes it as "partial 16S ribosomal RNA". It matches the Rfam family "Bacterial small subunit ribosomal RNA", at positions 29 to 507 of the family's 1533-position model. The record is from RNAcentral.